AGAACAACAGAAACUCUACACUAAGAGGAGCGCCCCUGUGAUGCUUAUUAACCCUGUGGAUUUAACCACACUGAAGCAAGCCGACGUCAGACCUCCACAGGUACAAAACGCUUUGCUGCUCUCUAUCAGUCAGACCGAAGCAGCAAGAAGAGGCUGAGCAGUCAAGUUCAAGUUCUUUCUUCUUUCGUGUGUGAAGGAAACACAGCAGUCUGUCAGCAGCAAAGCAAACAAAGUCAGCCAAUUAAGCUACCCGCUUGACCUGGAACAAAAUCAGUACAGAAAAAAAAAA
Poecilia latipinna (sailfin molly) is the source of this 289-nucleotide long non-coding RNA. RefSeq lists it as uncharacterized. NCBI's taxonomy places the organism in Eukaryota, Metazoa, Chordata, Actinopteri, Cyprinodontiformes, Poeciliidae. The transcript has 2 exons. The record is from RefSeq and is a predicted model, not a curated record.